GAAUACUUCUCCCUCUCUCUUCCUCUUUCUUUUCUUUUUAUUCUUUUUCCCCUUUUCUCCAUUUUCUCUCCCUCACCGCACACUUCUCUUCUCCUUUCUUUUCUUUCUUUCUUUCCUCUUCUCCAUCUCACGCACUCCCCUCCUCCUCCCCUAGUUUUUCACGCAGCCCAGCCCCCUCCCUUUCUUUCCCCCACGUUCUCAUCUCCUUCUCCCUUUCUUUUGCCCAGCCAAGCGACAACCCGAGAGAGGGAGAUGCUGAAUUUCAGAGAAGAAGAAGCAACCGGUUGAUGGGAAAAUUUAUGGGUUUCGGCCAUGGGCUUUUGUGGGGGAUAGUAUCCAGAUUGGAGACUUGAAUUGAUUCUCCAAUGUAGAGUCCAAGUGACUAGAAUCUGAGGGGAUGUUCAAGUCAAGAGUCUAAUGCAGCCAGAUGAUGUCUCUUGGCUGCAGGUACUCGGGUCGUAGUUGAUGAGGUCGUAGACGUGCAUUUGGGAUAUUAUGACCGGAGCUCGCCGCGAUGGUCGUAAUUGCGGGACCAUGGGCGUCCUCAGUUUUAUAAGUUUUGUUGUGGCUUGUGACGCAUGUGUCACUCGUUAUUGCAUAAAGCCAUUCUGUUAUGUAUUUAUAUUGUGGAAAGACUUAAACACAUAGAUAUUAAAUGGCUCUUGUUGUUAUUAAUUUAUGAUAGAUGUUUAGGAUUUGAUUUC
Long non-coding RNA from Alnus glutinosa, 704 nucleotides. RefSeq lists it as uncharacterized. Lineage: Eukaryota; Viridiplantae; Streptophyta; Magnoliopsida; Fagales; Betulaceae. The transcript is spliced from 3 exons. The record is from RefSeq and is a predicted model, not a curated record.